Molecule: long non-coding RNA, 2515 nt
Organism: Oncorhynchus keta (chum salmon)
Lineage: Eukaryota; Metazoa; Chordata; Actinopteri; Salmoniformes; Salmonidae
Exons: 3
Source: RefSeq, a predicted model, not a curated record
CAGAAAGCGCAGGUCUGUGUGGGUCCAGAGAUGGCUAAAGUCCCGAAAGCAGGCAGGGGAGUUCCACCGUCUAAUUCAAGAGCUUCGACUGUUUGGAGAGGAAAUUCCGAAGUUACUUUCGUCUGGACCGAAGCCAGUUCGAUCACCUGCUCCAGAUGGUUGGAGCCAGGAUCACCCGGAUGGAUACCAACUACCGGGAGUCCAUCAGCCCAGUUGAACGCCUGGCCUUUUGUCUCCGAUUCUUGGCGACAGGGGACUCCUACAGGACCAUAGGAUUCAGCUUCCGAGUUGGAUGGUCCACGCGGUGGCAGGCAUUGUCCCCUCUGUGGCACAAGCCAUUUGGGACUGUCUGGUUGGUGAAAACAUGCCUGUCCCCAAGGAGGAAGACUGGAGGGCCAUCACUGCCGAGUUCCUGGAGAGGUGGAAUUUCCCCAACUGUCUUGGCUCCAUUGACGGGAAACAUGUAGUAAUCCAGGCUCCACGGUGCUCAGGUUCGCAAUUCUACAACUACAAGGGUACAUAUUCAGUUGUACUCUUGGCUGUAGUAGAUGCCAUCUACUGUUUCCGUGUUGUCGAUGUUGGUGCUUACGGCAAGGGAAGUGAUGGCGUGACCCUCCGAGACUGCCUUUGGCCAGGCACUUCAGGAUGGCACCCUGUAUAUUUCACUACCUGCAUCACUCCCUGGGGCUGAAGACCUGGGACCUGACCACCACGUCUUCGUCGGCAAUGAGGCCUUCCCUUUAAGACCCAACCUCAUGAGGCCCUACGCUGCAUGCCAGCUGCCAUUGCCAAAGCCUGUAAGGAUCUUUAGCAAACGACUGUCCAGGGCAAGGUUAGUUGUUGAAUGCGCCUUUGGGAUUCUGGAAGCCUGAUGGAGAAUAUAUUGGAGAGUGCUUGGUCUCAGCCCCUCAAAUGUUGAUGCCUGCGUGAAGGCCACAUGUGUUCUCCACAACUACCUGCGGAGGAGGUAAUUCCAGGAGCCGCUCCGGAUGGAGAUGGGCACGCCAAAUGGUCACCUUCCUGAUGUCACCAGGGCAGGUGCCAACAACGCCCCCAGACAGGCACUCCAGGUGAGGGAGAAGCUGACCACCUACUUCUCAUCGCCAGCAGGUGAAGUCCCAUGGCAGUAUGCCGUGGAGUGAAAUGGCUCUUUUAAUUAAGAGCCCCAUAACACAAAGCUUAUUUUAGAACCAUCCACCGUUGUCCAUAAAAUUGCAUUUUUCAAUUUGGGAGUAAAAACCACACCUUAACCCCUUCUCUCUCCCAUUAACGUCAGUAUUAUACACACCUGGCAUAGUACAUCAGGUGAGCGGGAGCACUAAUUGAGGUUAUACGACAUACAGUUAAUAUGAUAACAAAGGGAAAGGGUAACCUAGGGUUCAUACAAAUAGUACAGUUUACCACCAUGUUGGCCUGACAAAAUACAGGUGGAAAAAAAACUAAUUAGGAAGAGAAUGUGUUUUUACUUUCAUCUUGUUUUAGAUCAGAAAAGGUGUAGGGAAGAAAUAAGCAGAUUAAGUCUAAAUUAGAUAUUAAUAAACAACUGAAACAACUGACUAUGAAAACAUUAUAAUUGAAUAAUUAUUCAAGUACAGGAAAGAACAUGACAGGUAUGUGUGUUGUAAAAAUGUUUAAAAAAAUAGAACUAUUGAAAGAGGUGUGUGCGUGCGUGUAAAUGAUUAUUAUUAUUUUUAGAUGAAUGUGUAGCCUGUAAUCUGUAAGAGAACAGCAAGAGCAUGUAUUUUUGGCACAACUGCAGACCGAUACGGGGACUACUCAGAAAGCCUAGACGUAGUAGGGGAACUUCAGACAUGGCCAUAAAGAGAGAGAGGGCAGGGCACUGGAGAUCUGAGGUACGAAGAGGUGUGUGUGUGUCUCUGUCUCUGAGAAAAAGGGAAUCAUAUGUAGCCAUAACACAGCUAAACAAACAAAUGGCCCCUGGACGUCACGGACCAGUCGAUGGAACAUAACUUCACAAAAAGUUUCAACACCCUGGUUUUCAAGUGGUUUUAAAUUAAAUAAAUAUAUUGACCUUUAGUCUUGUAAGAGAACCAAGAGCAUCUGUAAAAACUCCGUAUUGAGUUUCAAUUCAGAAAUCUAUGUAACACUAAUAAUGAAUGCUAUCCUAAGACUUUAUAAACAAAUGACUUUAUGAAUUGACUGAAUUUAAACGGAACUGACGUGUGUGAAAAGAAAGGUACAAAUGAGGGAGGUCAAAACAACAACCAGACAACUCCUCUUCCUGUCCUUCCUGUGAGCUGGUCGGCCCCGGCAACUCCUCUCCUCUUCCUGUCCUUCCUGUGAGCUGGUCGGCUAAAUUGACUCCAUUUCUGAAAGGGAAGAGAAAAACAACACAUACAAGCUUAACAUAAUAUGACAACAUAAAAGCCUCUUCAGUGUUGGCACCAGGCUCAUGGCAAAGAGGGUCUCUUCAUCCUCCAUCCUGUGAGCAUCAGGUUGGGCUGCAUCCCUCUCGACGGCUUGGAGGAGAGCCUCUGCUGAAAUGAGUUGAGUG